AGAAAUGUUUGUCCAUAUUGGAGAACCGGACCACCCUCUCCACCACCUACUGCAGGGACAGCGGAGCACGUUCUCCAACAGACUGCUUUAGCUCUGCUUCACAAGGACAGACCGGAGAACAUUCCUGAUAGAGGAGAACAUUCAUGAUACAGGAGAACCUUCCUAAUACAGGAGGACAUUCCUGAGACAUGAGAACAUUCCUGAUACAGGAGAACUUUCCAGUUACAGGAGAACAUUCCAGAUUCAGGAGAACCUUCUAGAAACAGGAGAACCUUCCAGAUACAGGAGAACCUUCCAGUUACAGGAGAACAUUCCUGGCAACUAUUAGACUUUACAAUGAAUCACCUCUGGCCAGAUCCUCCUCAAAUUGAACAACAUCAAUGAACAUUGCACCGCUUUCACUUUAUAUACACUUAGAUACACUGUAUUUACUUUCAUUUUUAUUACUUUUUAAAUUUCCUUUAUUAUUUAACUUCUUAAAUGUAAUAUGUCCUGUCCUGCUAUUUUAUUGUAUUGUAUUGUAUUCUUCUAAGAAUCUAGUUACUAGAGAAGAAAAUAGCACAGACAGAGACAGACAGACAGCCCGUCCAACAGAGAGAGAGAGAGAGAGAGAGAGUUCAAAGGAGAGGCCAGGUGUCAGUGAUCAGUCUGAUCACAGCAAUCAACACAAAAAGCAGAUUGAACUGUUGAACCCGGUUUCGCGCCACUUCUCCGCAGUUUGAGCGGCGCGCUGCUCUCCUGCUUCAGUGACUCAGGAAACGCCACAGAGGGAACGACAGCCUCCUGACAUGACAGCUGUUCUUGAGAGAGAAUCAUGUCAGCCCACAGACAACCGUUGACCUGUGAGUCUUCAAGCAGUAAUGAUGACUACGCCUGCCUUAAGUUCCAGUUUCCUGAACAUCAUGUCGGCAUGAGAUUCUGUCCCCACCUGUCUUCAGUCUGGACCCAAUGAUUCGGACACCAGUCUUGUCGAGGCUAAAUUGAGAUCAAGCAUUGACGGGAAAACACCCAAAGUCCAUCACUCAUGCACCGAGGAUCUGGCUGAUUACUGGAAAUUAGGAAGAUUGUUCUUUAUCUGCACUGUCACUUCUGGUAAAUAUUUAUGGACCUUUGCGGUAUGUUUUGCUUUGACUUAUCAACUGAUGGUGAAUAAUUGGUUGAUUUUGAAAAUGUACAUUAAAUAAAAUGUUUUAAAAUCAAUA
Molecule: long non-coding RNA, 1202 nt
Organism: Pseudoliparis swirei
Lineage: Eukaryota; Metazoa; Chordata; Actinopteri; Perciformes; Liparidae
Exons: 4
Source: RefSeq, a predicted model, not a curated record